Molecule: unclassified non-coding RNA, 246 nt
Filed under: Hevea brasiliensis (rubber tree)
Lineage: Eukaryota; Viridiplantae; Streptophyta; Magnoliopsida; Malpighiales; Euphorbiaceae
Source: RNAcentral
CAUCUUUGUUCCACAUAUCAAGAAUACCUCCCACUCUUCCUACCGAGCUUGCAAGGACCCGAUCCAGGUUUCCUAUGCCCUACAACCUUGGCAUUGCGGAAAAAUUAAACUUUCACACUUAGUUUGCAAGAAAGACACUUUGAAGUUCAAGAUAAGGUGUUUGAGGUGGGACUUCUUAGAGCUACCACCUACGCCUCUACAAUUCCACAAUAAAUAGAUAACAUACUGCCUUAAUAGACACACUGG